AAACUGGAUCUCACACUACAAAAUAUAUCCAUUACUGAAAUUGUUUUUUUUUAUUUAGUAACACACACUGUUUUGUUGUCUAUAAAAUUGCAUCUAUAUUUGAGGAUCUGUUAAGAUGUGACUAAAAACAAUAGAGCAUCCAAACAACAUCUUAAAUGAAACAAACUAGGAUCAAAAGGUUCAAGCAAAAUUUAGCAAAACCAUCAUACAUAAAUAAAACCAAAAUUGAAAAAAAAAAAUAAAAAACAGUCCAUGAUAAACAGAAUAAAGCUAUUCAACAUGACAAAGAACUUCACAGACUUUUUUCAAAAUAAGUUUUGCUUAAUGUGUAUAUCAUCAGUUAAGAAAGUAAAUUUUGGAAAUAGAAUUUAGUUAUCAAUCCACAUGGCUCAGAUUCACAGUAAGAAAAUAAUGAAUAAUAACAAGGCAGCACUUGUACCCGCAAAGUGGAAAGGGAUUAAUAUAAGUUGCAAAACUUGUUUCCCAAUCCACUAUAAAUAAAUAUGUUUAAACUAAAAUAAUGAAAUAUUUGCCACUGAACAUUUUAUUAUCAGACUAGUGUACGUAAUAGAUAUAUGUCUCUUACUAAAAGUUAACUGUUCAAUUCUUUAGUAUUGAUUUUAUUUAUUUAUAAUGAUUGAA
Molecule: long non-coding RNA, 642 nt
Filed under: Mytilus galloprovincialis (Mediterranean mussel)
Lineage: Eukaryota; Metazoa; Mollusca; Bivalvia; Mytilida; Mytilidae
Source: RNAcentral